AUCCUCUCACCGGGGGAAAUCUCACCGGGUUUGGGUUUUUUCCUAAAGAGCAUCCCCGCUGGCGCCGCCCGAGGCGCCUGGUGCUCACCUGGGAGAGGCUGAUGGCGCAGCGGGGGGGCUGCACUAAUAAAGCAUAUGCUUCGGGGAAGCCUGACAGAGGAGGAGAGACGCGAAAGAGGUUGUAAAACGGGUGCGUGGCUCUAAGGGUGAGCAGAGCCGUCCUGUUUUAAUCACAGAGCUUUUGUCGUGCGUGAAAUCUAGAUCACAGUAAAACUCCGUCCCAGAAUCAGAUGGUCUCUGCCUGACGUGUCACUGUGGUCCCCGCUCAGCAGAAGUGCUGUAGUCUACAGGUACGGAAGCUUACAAGCAAGCACAGGCCUACACUGGAAUCAAGGAUUUUGGUUCUGUUCAUUGCAGAAAAUAUGGCACAAUGUUUGAUUGCUGUGGGCUGCAAGAGCUUUGCCUGGGUAAGUGAAUCUUGGAAGUCCCUGAAUCUCAUAGGAUAUUUGAAGAAGAAUGUUAAUGUACAGAUCGUUCACCUCAUCUGAUCUGAUUUUACCCAGAUGAAGAUCUCAUUAUUGAAACAAGAAUUCUGUACAAAUAUUGGGCUAAGAAAUGUAUGCAAUUAUCUCAAAAAGAUAAAUAGCAAAUGUAGUCCUGUAGUCUUUGGCCAAAAUGCCUGUACUGUGGAAGGCUGAAGUUGUCAGCAGAAUAAUCUUACCAACAUUUAAAUCAGAUAGUUUAGAAUGUGGGUAUCUUAUUUUAAUCUCUUCAAAGUUGCUAAGUGCAUGUAAUAUGUUCUUCCGUUGAUGUUAAAAAGUACAGGGAUUAGAUUUAUCUGUUAAGGAGAGACUAUGAGAUAAGUAAUUCAAAUUUAUGUAGAUACUCUCACAAAAUAUCAGCAUUUGUCAUGUUCGUACAUAGGUGAAGAAAUUUGGAAAUGUAAAGUAAAAAGUAAACAGCCAGUCAGUGACAUACAAAGAAUGUUGCCAAAGAUUAACAGGACUUUUGACUAGAGGCACUGCUGUAUAUUUGUUCCUAUUUCUUGUUCUUGUUUUUCACUUUUCCUUUUUGGUGUCUACUCCUACUAUGAUUGAUAUUAAUUUAUACUAAAGAUGGCAUUUUUAAAUAAAGUUUACUUUUUGUGUAGUGUGGAAUAUAGAUAUCUUGCUUUAUUUAAGAACAAUUUCAGUAUAAUUAAUUAAGAUGCCAGAGUUAGGUUCUGCAGUAGUUUCUGUUACAUUGCAUCAUUCUGAAUUUGAAAGUAUUUCAAAGCUAAUGCUCCAAAAUAACAUUCUGACUGAGGGGAUUUUUUUUCCCCUAAUUUGACAUAUGGUAAUGAUAAAUGUAAACAAAACAGAAUACUAAUGUUUUGUUGCUUAUUUAAUGUAGAAAAACUCAUCUAAACUCUGGCAUCUGCCUGCUCCUUGUAAAUCUGCUUUCACUCAGUUGUAUAGCUAGAUUUUGAUCAGUAUUCUUUGUUCUCUUAAAAUUUACAUUCAGUUGGGGGCAGGCAAGAAAUGGCCCUGUCAUCUCAAUGACAUACAAUGUCAAAUGAUUUGCCAGGAUCUUCUACAGUCUCAUUCAAAAUCUCCUGGAUCUCAGUGGGAGCUGGACUGGGCCAUGGAAUUGCUCAGUAUUUGUGUCUAAAACCACAGAAUUUGGCCAUCCCAUUGCUACUGAGUUUUUGCUAUGCACAGAGGACUAUGUAAUAGCUAUUAAGAUGAAUUAAUGAAUUACUUCUGAUUGGAUGAGAUUUACUAUUUUAAAUUAUUUUACUCUCUAUCACUAAACAUGUUUCUGUUAACUGUGGUUCACUUGUAAUAUUAGCAAAAGAUUAUUUUAUAGACCUAUUCGUUCUAGUAAAAGACUUACAACCAUUCUACCUAGUACUACACUUCAAAAUUUGCCUUAGUAUAAUACUAAGGUUACAGUGUUGCAGUGUUCCUGCGCGGAUUUACGUGUCUUUUUUCUGGUAGUGGCCUAAGAUGUGAGAAGGAAUUCUGUCAGGAACUCAGAAAAAUAAUGAAUCUUAUCACUUAUAUGCAAGGUAUGUUUCUCCAGCCUUGGCUUUGUUAACAUAAGCACUGAAGAACAUGGGUUCACACGUACAAUUUGUUUUCUCAUAUUAUAUAUACAUAACUAAAAGAAUCAAAAUCAAAACUUCAGUUUACAGAUAUCUGCCCUUGGAGAAGGGAUGUGAGAACAGUCAGACACAAGUUUGUCCAAUCAUUCAGUGCACAGCCAGGAAGCUGAUAAUGGCGAUAAGCAUAGAUAACCAGUAUAUAAUGAGGUAGAACUUUAAGAAGUCAAAACCAAAUAUGUAAGUACGUGCAAGACUGGUGCAACUGGGACAAAUUCAAAAUUAGUUUUAAUAAGUUCACCAGUUAUAUGUUCCACCUACCCAGACUGGGGCUGAAUUUGCUGUACUCCUUUCCAAGGCAAUUAGAAUUCUGUUGGUAUAUCAGAAAACAGUUGGUUAUCCUCUCUGCAAAAUUUUGUUCAGAUACCCAGUGUUUCUUUGGGGGACUGUUUCCCACAAAAUUAAUAUUUCUAAAUGCCAUUGGCAGCUGUGAAAAUCUCAGCCAGUAUCUAUAUAAAAAUACUCUAUGAGCUUCACUAAGAUUGCAAAUAAGUGGGUGGAACUCCAUUGAAAUAAAAAACUAGAAUAGAACUGAAUUUGACCACAUUUAUACCAGAUCUGGAAAUGAAAAUCACUUUAAUUUCAGCUUCUACGUUUCCAGACUCAGUAGCUCUUUUAAACUGGAGUCAUGUUCCUAUAGAUUACUGUUUCUUUUUCAGAAAAAAAGAAACUCUCCAAUCCUUUAUGUGCUCAUGGUUUAUUUAUAUUUGCCUCUUUCCCACUGGAAUGCAUCAAAAUCACAUAGAAUUAUGGAUCUCCACUGAGCAUUAAGAGUUAAAAGGGCCUUCUGUGUAACUGAGUAAUAGUAGCCAUUACAUAUGUUGAGUAUUCAUUGUCUUGUGAAGUUUUAGAUGGUGAUAAAAAACUGAUUUAUCAGUUGUUUAGAACUGAAUUAUUUACACAUUGUAAUUAAUUAGUCAAUGUCUUUCUAUGUAGCUAUGUAAAUUGGCAUCCCCGAGGCCUAAUAAUUUUAAAAGUUUCAUCCUCUAAACUUAACAGCAGUUUGAGCUAGGAACCUUAAAGAUUCUAUCUUAAAAAGACUUAGGCAGAUGGGAGUUAAAGAGCUGCUCCCAUACAUAAACUCAGUCAUACAUCUUGCAGAUGAAACCUUAUAUCUUGCAGAUGAAUCAAAUAAUUCUUUUAAAUCAAAGUUCUUUUUUCUACUUGUUUACAUUUGAAACGUAAAAGAAAUUAAAAGAGAACAAAACUUUUUCACCCAAUCUUAAAGAACAAUCUUUCUUCAUAACCCUAUGAAAAAUUCUCUAGGAAGAUUUGAGAAUGUGAGAACAGGAUUUUCCUUCUCAGUCUUUACAAGUGCCAGUUCCAUAAAAAGGUAAACAUUGGAUGAUUCAUGAUACAAAUAAACAAUAGGAAAAAAGAGCGUGUAACUUUUAUGUCUUGUUAUUGUUAGUGUUUUAUGGAUAACAGCCAAAUAGUAUUCACUCUUUUUCAAAAAUCAAAUGCAGAAGAGCAGAGAGUACUCGGAAAUAUAUAUGUAUGUUAAGUAUGUAUUUCAUAUUUCUAAAUAACACUGCCAAGCAUACUAAAUAUUUCCUAGAUCAUGCUUCUUCCCUGUUGGUUACAUUUAUAUGAACUGGACCCUCUGAAGGUCAUUCCAGUUAAAACAUCUGCCAAAGAAAAGUGAUUUUUUAAAGAUAAAUAUAUUUUAAAAUAUUCUGUAUAGAAAGAUAUGUAUCGGAAUGGUCAUUCUACUAUAGGAAAAAAUCUAUUUCUAAUUUCAGUAGACACAGAAUCCUCACAAUUUUAAAUUAUACAACAUAACAAACAGUAAAACAGUUCUUAGUCCAGCUUAUUAGGAAUGGCUUGAGUUUGCAUUUUGUUCUUCAAGAAUAUAUAGAAAACCAAGUGGGCCACAGACUGGUUUACCAGUUUACUUUAUGGUUUCAAAUUUCUGUAUUAUAACUAAUAGAUAAAAGCUGAACCGUUGUUGCUGUUAGCUACAGAUUUUGAACCAAUGUAUAAGUUAAAAUGGGAUAAUAAGUAAUGAUAAACAAAUAAUGUUUCAGAAUUUAAGUCCUGAAGGAAGGCUGGAAAUUAAUUCAUUCUACUCCAGUAUCCUUCCUUUCUUACUUCAGUUUGUCCUAUUUAACAUUAAAAUAGGGGGGAAAAAAGUCAUUCAAGAUUGCUCUUUUACAUAAUGGAAGUUAUUAAAUGAGCCUCUUGCAUUGUUUUUACACAUCCCCUUUGUCCAUGACUAAUUUAUUUUCAUCUGAAUAUUCCCAUAGGCCAAAUCGGAACAUGAAUUUUGGAAUAAAAGUCCUGGCUAAAUUUAAUGAGGGAUUUAAUGAGGAAUUUUGCUUAAAAAUAGACAGGAUUAUUUCAGCAAGUUAUUAGUACAUUUAAAUUAGAUAUAUGACUAAAUGGUUGCAGAAUCAGGCCCCAGUAUCGCACAGCAGUAAGUAAAAACGUUCUUUGGAAAACUGCUUGUUUGGAAUACCUUGUUAGCAAGCAAAUAUGAAUAUGUACAACAAAAUCCACAGAUUUUGCAGAUCUGCAAAGUCCACAAAUACUUCCUCUAACAGACAAGUCUGCCUUACUGAACCUUAUACAAUUCUUUAGUAAAUCUAGGUUAAACUUUCUUCCUUUUGGUAAGGUGGAAGAGCGGUCAUAAACCUUCAUGCUAUAGGGAGAGGAAAAAACUCAACAACUCCAAAUACACAGGUCAAAGGUGAUUGUAAUUUUAAAUCAGAAUUGUAAUUUCUGGUAUAGAUUUUCAGCAACUGUAAACAUGUCCUGAAGUCAAUAAAUCCAUGUUAAUUUGCAUCA
Molecule: non-coding RNA, 4930 nt
Organism: Struthio camelus australis
Lineage: Eukaryota; Metazoa; Chordata; Aves; Struthioniformes; Struthionidae
Source: RefSeq, a predicted model, not a curated record